Molecule: small nuclear RNA, 102 nt
Organism: Nycticebus coucang (slow loris)
Lineage: Eukaryota; Metazoa; Chordata; Mammalia; Primates; Lorisidae
Source: RefSeq, a predicted model, not a curated record
UGCUUGCUUCGGCAGCACAUUACCAAAAUUGGAACAAUACAGAGAUUAGCUUGGCUUCUGUGCAAGGAUGACACACAAAUUCGUGAAGUGGUCCAUAUUUUA